UACGUAGGGGGCAAGCGUUGUCCGGAUUUAUUGGGCGUAAAGAGCGUGUAGGCGGCUUGGUAGGUCCGCUGUGAAAACUCGAGGCUCAACCUCGAGAUGUCGGCGGAAACCACUUGGCUAGAGUCCAGAAGAGGAGAGUGGAAUUCCCGGUGUAGCGGUGAAAUGCGCAGAUAUCGGGAAGAACACCUAUGGCGAAGGCAGCUCUCUGGGACGGUACUGACGCUGAGACGCGAAAGCGUGGGGAGCGAACAGG
Molecule: ribosomal RNA, 253 nt
Filed under: uncultured bacterium
Lineage: Bacteria
Description: partial 16S ribosomal RNA
Rfam family: Bacterial small subunit ribosomal RNA
Source: RNAcentral